GAUGUUUGUUUGGACACAAUUUGG
Molecule: non-coding RNA, 24 nt
Filed under: Arabidopsis thaliana (thale cress)
Lineage: Eukaryota; Viridiplantae; Streptophyta; Magnoliopsida; Brassicales; Brassicaceae
Source: RNAcentral